Long non-coding RNA from Melitaea cinxia (Glanville fritillary), 365 nucleotides. RefSeq lists it as uncharacterized. NCBI's taxonomy places the organism in Eukaryota, Metazoa, Arthropoda, Insecta, Lepidoptera, Nymphalidae. The record is from RefSeq and is a predicted model, not a curated record. The transcript has 2 exons.
CAGCAUUAUAUAAGUGCUGGUGCUGUGCGGCUCCUUGCUUUUCCUUUGUCUUCAGCCUCGGUCAGGUUCAGGGUGCGAUUUUGUUGGGGUCCUUGGCGUGGUGGACACGUGCGGUGCCGUUGUUGCCGGUGAUACCACGUGGGCGGAUUUUGUGAGUUGGCUGCUAGGACCCCAACAUCUAUAAUAAAGAACUGCUCAACCUCUUCGAAUCAGCAUCGGGAUUCUUCCCUCUGGCCGAGCAAAAUUUCUCAUCCCCGGCUGACAUCGUGAUGGAGAUGGUGUCGUGGACCUUGGACAUCUGAACUCGAGAGACUGGAGGUUGAUCUUCCAGGGAAUUUCUGCGAGGCCACGUGUCACGGAGACCA